Molecule: ribosomal RNA, 253 nt
Filed under: uncultured bacterium
Lineage: Bacteria
Description: partial 16S ribosomal RNA
Rfam family: Bacterial small subunit ribosomal RNA
Source: RNAcentral
UACGUAGGGUGCAAGCGUUAAUCGGAAUUACUGGGCGUAAAGCGUGCGCAGGCGGUUGUGCAAGACAGGUGUGAAAUCCCCGGGCUUAACCUGGGAACUGCACUUGUGACUGCACAGCUGGAGUACGGCAGGGGGGGAUGGAAUUCCGCGUGUAGCAGUGAAAUGCGUAGAUAUGCGGAGGAACACCGAUGGCGAAGGCAGUCCCCUGGGCCUGUACUGACGCUCAUGCACGAAAGCGUGGGGAGCAAACAGG